Non-coding RNA from Pelobates cultripes (western spadefoot toad), 204 nucleotides. The record is from the annotation of a GenBank genome assembly. Lineage: Eukaryota; Metazoa; Chordata; Amphibia; Anura; Pelobatidae.
GAAGUGAGCAUGUUAUAUGUAAUAUCAGUAAACACAAGACUGAUGCAGAUAACGAAAAAGAUGCUGAACAUAAACGGAUUUCUGCCCCCCACGAGCUUGCUAUGGAGGGCACAAGGAACCAGGGAUGUCAAAACACAAGUCCUGUGGAUGUGCAUACAGACACAUUGAGGCUUGGAGGGAGGGGGGCGGGUGCAGUCUGCUACU